CAUGGCAAUCCUCCUGCUCAGCCUCCCAAGCGCUGGGAUUACAGGGUCCCCAGAGCCAGAGCCAGCCCCCAGUUGGAGCAGCAGGAAGCACCAUGGGUCCUGCCGCUCCAGAGCUUUGAGGCCAGGACAGUCCUGAGGGGAAGUCACCCAGAAGUCAGCAGGAUCCUUUAAAAUUCUACAUCAGGGCUGGGACGUAGCGCAGUGGGAGAGUGCUUCCCAGCACGGCUGCACUGCCAUGGGACUUCAGGACAGUUUCCCCACAGUCUGCAUUUCCUUUCACUUCAGCUCACCGGACAUUAACUGAGAGCCUUCCUCACACUGGUCCCACACCAGACCUGCAAGAGGGCCAUGUUUCAAAGCUGUUUAACUUCAGGCAGAUUACUUCACCUCGCUGACCCUUCCUUGUUUGUCUGUAAAACGAGGGUAAUCGCAGUCCCUUCUUCAUAGAGUGGGACUAGGAUUAACGAGGUAACACAUGUAAAACUCUUUGCACAGCACCUGGUAUCUUGUAUCUGCCCCGUAAAUGUCAAGGACAACAAUAAUUAUGAUAAGAUUUGCCUUGGAGGAAGUUGUAGUUUAAUGCGGGACUUGAACAAGAGUUAUCUAGGUAGGGCUGGGGAUAUAGCUCAGCAGCAUAAGUGCCUGCCUGGCAAGCACAAGGUCCUGAGUUCGAUUCCCGGUAACAAAAAAAAACAAAAAAACAAAAAAAGAGUUAUCUAGGUAAAGAAAGAUAGGCAAAUAUUUGGGAAAAAGGAGAGGAGCAGUUUAACUAAAAUUAAAAGGCUGAGUUAGGGAGUUAGGAGACUAAGUUACAGUUUAGACUUAUCCACUAAAACGUAGUGGUGUUGACAUAUGCCUAUAAUCCCAGCCUCCUUCGAGGCUGAGGCAGGAGGACUGCAAGUUCC
Long non-coding RNA from Chinchilla lanigera (long-tailed chinchilla), 905 nucleotides. RefSeq lists it as uncharacterized. NCBI's taxonomy places the organism in Eukaryota, Metazoa, Chordata, Mammalia, Rodentia, Chinchillidae. The transcript has 4 exons. The record is from RefSeq and is a predicted model, not a curated record.